RNAcentral lists this long non-coding RNA (1529 nucleotides) under Androctonus crassicauda. The record is from RNAcentral. Lineage: Eukaryota; Metazoa; Arthropoda; Arachnida; Scorpiones; Buthidae.
AUUCUUUUUUUUUUUGUUCUUAUAUAUAUAUAUAUAUAUAUAUAUAUAUAUAUAGUUUUAAAUCCGAGUUUUUCUUUUCCUCUCGAGACGCGCCUGUUCGAUUGCGUAGUUUACAUGCUUUCCUUAUCGCCGGGCUAACUCAAUCGAAGUGGAAUCCUCGCGACUCCUUUCAUGAAUAUGUGAUUUAGAGGAAGGAAAUAGCCCAUUUUCUGGUUGUGCGGGCGGAUGCUGCUCUCCCUCCUCACGUCGAGAUGCUGAUUUGGCGUUGAUGACCGUUGGUGUUCAAUUUUUUUUUCUUCUUUUUAUUUUUUUUAAGCUCUGUGUUUCUUUUAAGACUCCACUUCCCCUUAUUCGCCUCUAACUAAUCGAUAACCGAGCAGGAAAUUUAAUAGGAAGAAAGUUACGCUAUGGGACAAAGUAAAUUAGGAUGUUUUGAUAUCAGAGAAGGGGACGAAGAAGAAGAAGAAGAAAAAAAAAAGCUAUUUUCCAACAAAACAGCUAUUGAUCACGAAGAGAUUUUUAAAAAGUGCAACAGCUAACAUUGCUAGUUAACAUUAAAAAAACUACCCCUAAUAGCAUUUAAAAAUGAGAUUUAGUUUGCUAUUGUCGUUAAAACCCAAAAUAAAACUUAAAAAAAAAAAAAAGGAACGAAACUAUUUAAAAUUUACGAAAGGAAAAGAUCAAUUAGUGAAAAUUCUGUUCGUCUCUAUUAAAAGAAUAAAGAAACAAUAUCAUGGUUUUCGUAUUAAAAUCUGCUCGGAACUGUCACUUCUCAACAUGGCAGUUAAUUUGUCACGUGUCUUCUUUUAAUUACUACUUUUUAUUGUCUGUCUGUUUACUCGCUUCUGAUGUAUUGUCGCUUCUUUAAUGCAAUCUAAUUACUGUUGAGACGUUCUUAGAGAAAAGACAUCUCGGUUCGUUUAGGGAAAUCAUGUAGAAUGCGCCUCUUAAAGAAAAUGGUAGCGCGAAUUAAUUAAGAUGAAGAAACCAAAGUAUAACUCGACGAAUUAAAUGUCAUGCGGGAACUAAAUUCUGCAUAAAAGUUCCAAUUUUUAUUAUUUUUUUUUUUUCGGUUAUUCAUUUUAACCGCGUACCAACUUUUGACGUCGUUUAAGUUCAGGUGUUCCUAGAAUAUCUUUUUAAUGAAAAUGCAGAAUCCCUGCAGAAAUAGUACAUACUGUAUAUACAUAUAUGUAUACAUAGAGUGCCAUUGUUAGUCUCAUUACAACAACUAAGCAUAGGGUUGACCGAAACAGCUGCAGUUUCAUGCAAAACAGCUUCCGUUUUACAAAUGGCCAACUGGUUAAAAGCAAAAAUUUGAAGAGCGAAUUCAUUCAAGUGGCUCUCUGCUUGCUUGUUCAUUUCAUCCCCUUCUCUCCCUUCCAACUCUUCUACUGUACUCUCUCUCCUAUUCCCUCUACCCCUUUUGUAUAGGGUAAACUUUGAAUAGGACCCUAUUCUCUUUCUACAAUACAAUACUGCAUAUAUCAUACAGAUAGAUAUUAUUCAAUAUUUACCAUAAAAUAUAU